GAUGAACGCUGGCGGCGUGCCUAAUACAUGCAAGUCGAGCGAACGGACGAGAAGCUUGCUUCUCUGAUGUUAGCGGCGGACGGGUGAGUAACACGUGGAUAACCUACCUAUAAGACUGGGAUAACUUCGGGAAACCGGAGCUAAUACCGGAUAAUAUUUUGAACCGCAUGGUUCAAAAGUGAAAGACGGUCUUGCUGUCACUUAUAGAUGGAUCCGCGCUGCAUUAGCUAGUUGGUAAGGUAACGGCUUACCAAGGCAACGAUGCAUAGCCGACCUGAGAGGGUGAUCGGCCACACUGGAACUGAGACACGGUCCAGACUCCUACGGGAGGCAGCAGUAGGGAAUCUUCCGCAAUGGGCGAAAGCCUGACGGAGCAACGCCGCGUGAGUGAUGAAGGCCUUCGGAUCGUAAAACUCUGUUAUUAGGGAAGAACAUAUGUGUAAGUAACUGUGCACAUCUUGACGGUACCUAAUCAGAAAGCCACGGCUAACUACGUGCCAGCAGCCGCGGUAAUACGUAGGUGGCAAGCGUUAUCCGGAAUUAUUGGGCGUAAAGCGCGCGUAGGCGGUUUUUUAAGUCUGAUGUGAAAGCCCACGGCUCAACCGUGGAGGGUCAUUGGAAACUGGAAAACUUGAGUGCAGAAGAGGAAAGUGGAAUUCCAUGUGUAGCGGUGAAAUGCGCAGAGAUAUGGAGGAACACCAGUGGCGAAGGCGACUUUCUGGUCUGUAACUGACGCUGAUGUGCGAAAGCGUGGGGAUCAAACAGGAUUAGAUACCCUGGUAGUCCACGCCGUAAACGAUGAGUGCUAAGUGUUAGGGGGUUUCCGCCCCUUAGUGCUGCAGCUAACGCAUUAAGCACUCCGCCUGGGGAGUACGACCGCAAGGUUGAAACUCAAAGGAAUUGACGGGGACCCGCACAAGCGGUGGAGCAUGUGGUUUAAUUCGAAGCAACGCGAAGAACCUUACCAAAUCUUGACAUCCUUUGACAACUCUAGAGAUAGAGCCUUCCCCUUCGGGGGACAAAGUGACAGGUGGUGCAUGGUUGUCGUCAGCUCGUGUCGUGGGAUGUUGGGUUAAGUCCCGCAACGAGCGCAACCCUUAAGCUUAGUUGCCAUCAUUAAGUUGGGCACUCUAAGUUGACUGCCGGUGACAAACCGGAGGAAGGUGGGGAUGACGUCAAAUCAUCAUGCCCCUUAUGAUUUGGGCUACACACGUGCUACAAUGGACAAUACAAAGGGCAGCGAAACCGCGAGGUCAAGCAAAUCCCAUAAAGUUGUUCUCAGUUCGGAUUGUAGUCUGCAACUCGACUACAUGAAGCUGGAAUCGCUAGUAAUCGUAGAUCAGCAUGCUACGGUGAAUACGUUCCCGGGUCU
Molecule: ribosomal RNA, 1372 nt
Filed under: uncultured bacterium
Lineage: Bacteria
Description: bacterial SSU rRNA
Rfam family: Bacterial small subunit ribosomal RNA
Source: RNAcentral